Phrynosoma platyrhinos (Desert horned lizard) is the source of this 72-nucleotide non-coding RNA. Lineage: Eukaryota; Metazoa; Chordata; Lepidosauria; Squamata; Phrynosomatidae. The record is from the annotation of a GenBank genome assembly.
GCCAGCUUGGCUUAGUGGUAUGAGUGUUGGACUACAACUCUGGAGACCAAGGUUUGAAUCCCUACUCAGCCA